This 253-nucleotide ribosomal RNA is filed under the name uncultured bacterium. Its description in RNAcentral is "partial 16S ribosomal RNA". It matches the Rfam family "Bacterial small subunit ribosomal RNA", at positions 524 to 776 of the family's 1533-position model. The record is from RNAcentral.
UACGUAGGGGGCGAGCGUUGUUCGGAUUCAUUGGGCGUAAAGGGUGCGUAGGUGGCGUCGUAAGUGGGGUGUGAAAUCCCGGGGCUUAACCCCGGGACUGCAUUCCAUACUGCGGUGCUUGAGGACUGGAGAGGAGACUGGAAUUUACGGUGUAGCAGUGAAAUGCGUAGAGAUCGUAAGGAAGACCAGUGGCGAAGGCGGGUCUCUGGACAGUUCCUGACACUGAGGCACGAAGGCCAGGGGAGCAAACGGG